This 253-nucleotide unclassified non-coding RNA is filed under the name uncultured Caryophanales bacterium. RNAcentral describes it as "uncultured Bacillales bacterium contains 16S-23S intergenic spacer region". It matches the Rfam family "Bacterial small subunit ribosomal RNA", at positions 524 to 776 of the family's 1533-position model. The record is from RNAcentral. Lineage: Bacteria; Bacillati; Bacillota; Bacilli; Caryophanales.
CCCCCCGGUGGCAAGCGUUGUCCGGAAUUAUUGGGCGUAAAGCGCGCGCAGGCGGCCUCUUAAGUCUGAUGUGAAAGCCCCCGGCUCAACCGUGGAGGGUCAUUGGAAACUGGAGGACUUGAGUGCAGAAGAGGAAAGUGGAAUUCCACGUGUAGCGGUGAAAUGCGUAGAGAUGUGGAGGAACACCAGUGGCGAAGGCGACUCUUUGGCCUAUAACUGACGCUGAGGCGCGAAAGCGUGGGGAGCAAACAGG